UACAUGUGGGGCAAGCGUUGUUCGGAAUUACUGGGCAUAAAGGGUGCGUAGGCGGCUUGUUAAGUCAGGGGUGAAAUCCCACGGCCCAACCGUGGAACUGCCUUUGAUACUGGCGAGCUUGAGUGCGUGAGGGGUAACCGGAACGAGUAGUGUAGCGGUGAAAUGCGUAGAUAUUACUCGGAAGGCCAAAGGCGAAGGCAGGUUACUGGUACGCAACUGACGCUGAGGCACGAAAGCGUGGGGAGCGAACAGG
This 253-nucleotide ribosomal RNA is filed under the name uncultured bacterium. RNAcentral describes it as "partial 16S ribosomal RNA". It matches the Rfam family "Bacterial small subunit ribosomal RNA", at positions 524 to 776 of the family's 1533-position model. The record is from RNAcentral.